This 117-nucleotide ribosomal RNA is filed under the name uncultured bacterium. Its description in RNAcentral is "partial 16S ribosomal RNA". It matches the Rfam family "Bacterial small subunit ribosomal RNA", at positions 355 to 489 of the family's 1533-position model. The record is from RNAcentral.
UGGGGAAUAUUGCACAAUGGGGGAAACCCUGAUGCAGCGACGCCGCGUGAAGGAAGAAGUAUCUCGGUAUGUAAACUUCUAUCAGCAGGGAAGAUAGUGACGGUACCUGACUAAGAA